RNAcentral lists this ribosomal RNA (868 nucleotides) under uncultured archaeon. Its description in RNAcentral is "bacterial SSU rRNA". It matches the Rfam family "Archaeal small subunit ribosomal RNA", at positions 5 to 879 of the family's 1478-position model. The record is from RNAcentral.
CGGUUGAUCCUGCCGGAGGUUACUGCUAUUGGAAUCCGAUUAAGCCAUGCGAGUCGAGAGGGUUAGACCCUCGGCGCACUGCUCAGUAACACGUGGAGAAUCUGCCCUUAGGUGAGGGAUAACCUCGGGAAACUGAGAAUAAUACCUCAUAGGUUAUGGAUGCUGGAAUGCUCCAUAAGUCAAAGCCCCGGCGCCUAAGGAUGACUCUGCGGCCUAUCAGGUAGUAGUCAGGGUAAGGACCUGACUAGCCGACGACGGGUACGGGGUGUGAGAGCACUAGCCCGGAGAUGGAUUCUGAGACACGAAUCCAGACCCUACGGGGUGCAGCAGGCGCGAAACUUCCGCAAUGCUCGCAAGAGUGACGGAGGGAUUCCAAGUGCCUAUGCAAUGCAUAGGCUGUUUCCUUGUCUAAAUAACAGGGGGAGUAAGAGCUGGGUAAGACUGGUGCCAGCCGCCGCGGUAAUACCAGCAGCUCGAGUGGUAACCGUUAUUAUUGGGCCUAAAGCGUCCGUAGCCGGUUUGGUAAAUAUCUGGGUAAAUCGUGAGGCCUAACUUCACGAAUUCCGGAUAGACUGCCAGACUUGGGACCGGGAGAGGUCAGAGGUACUCCAGGGGUAGCGGUGAAAUGCUGUAAUCCUUGGAGGACCACCGGUAGCGAAGGCGUCUGACUAGAACGGGUCCGACGGUGAGGGACGAAGCCCUGGGGCGCAAACCGGAUUAGAUACCCGGGUAGUCCAGGGUGUAAACGAUGUGGGCUUUGUAUUGGAGGUCCCACGUGGGCGUCCAGUGCAGUAGAGAAGUUGUUAAGCCCACCGCCUGGGGAGUACGGUCGCAAGGCUGAAACUUAAAGGAAUUGGCGGGGGAGCAC